Molecule: ribosomal RNA, 888 nt
Filed under: Salmonella enterica
Lineage: Bacteria; Pseudomonadati; Pseudomonadota; Gammaproteobacteria; Enterobacterales; Enterobacteriaceae
Description: partial 23S ribosomal RNA
Rfam family: Bacterial large subunit ribosomal RNA
Source: RNAcentral
ACUCGCUGUGAAGAUGCAGUGUACCCGCGGCAAGACGGAAAGACCCCGUGAACCUUUACUAUAGCUUGACACUGAACAUUGAGCCUUGAUGUGUAGGAUAGGUGGGAGGCUUUGAAGUGUGGACGCCAGUCUGCAUGGAGCCGACCUUGAAAUACCACCCUUUAAUGUUUGAUGUUCUAACGUGGACCCGUUACCCGGGUUGCGGACAGUGUCUGGUGGGUAGUUUGACUGGGGCGGUCUCCUCCUAAAGAGUAACGGAGGAGCACGAAGGUUGGCUAAUCCUGGUCGGACAUCAGGAGGUUAGUGCAAUGGCAUAAGCCAGCUUGACUGCGAGCGUGACGGCGCGAGCAGGUGCGAAAGCAGGUCAUAGUGAUCCGGUGGUUCUGAAUGGAAGGGCCAUCGCUCAACGGAUAAAAGGUACUCCGGGGAUAACAGGCUGAUACCGCCCAAGAGUUCAUAUCGACGGCGGUGUUUGGCACCUCGAUGUCGGCUCAUCACAUCCUGGGGCUGAAGUAGGUCCCAAGGGUAUGGCUGUUCGCCAUUUAAAGUGGUACGCGAGCUGGGUUUAGAACGUCGUGAGACAGUUCGGUCCCUAUCUGCCGUGGGCGCUGGAGAACUGAGGGGGGCUGCUCCUAGUACGAGAGGACCGGAGUGGACGCAUCACUGGUGUUCGGGUUGUCAUGCCAAUGGCACUGCCCGGUAGCUAAAUGCGGAAGAGAUAAGUGCUGAAAGCAUCUAAGCACGAAACUUGCCCCGAGAUGAGUUCUCCCUGAGACUUAGAGUCUCCUGAAGGAACGUUGAAGACGACGACGUUGAUAGGCCGGGUGUGUAAGCGCAGCGAUGCGUUGAGCUAACCGGUACUAAUGAACCGUGAGGCUUAACCUUACA